RNAcentral lists this ribosomal RNA (931 nucleotides) under Stereocaulon alpinum. RNAcentral's name for it is "LSU rRNA". It matches the Rfam family "Eukaryotic large subunit ribosomal RNA", at positions 22 to 971 of the family's 3401-position model. Lineage: Eukaryota; Fungi; Ascomycota; Lecanoromycetes; Lecanorales; Stereocaulaceae. The record is from RNAcentral.
UACCCGCUGAACUUAAGCAUAUCAAUAAGCGGAGGAAAAGAAACCAACAGGGAUUGCCUCAGUAACGGCGAGUGAAGCGGCAACAGCUCAAAUUUGAAAUCUGGUCCUUUCCGGCCCCGAGUUGUAAUUUGUAGAGGAUGUUUCGGGCGCGGCGCGGGUCUAAGUCCUUUGGAACAGGGCGUCAGAGAGGGUGAGAAUCCCGUAUGCGACCCGUGGCCAACCCCAUCUGAAACCCCUUCGACGAGUCGAGUUGUUUGGGAAUGCAGCUCAAAAUGGGUGGUAAAUUUCAUCUAAAGCUAAAUACCGGCCAGAGACCGAUAGCGCACAAGUAGAGUGAUCGAAAGAUGAAAAGCACUUUGGAAAGAGAGUCAAACAGUACGUGAAAUUGUUGAAAGGGAAGCGCUUGCGACCAGACCUGCCCGCGGGCGAUCAACCCCCGUUCUCGGGGGUGCACUCGCCCGCGAUCAGGCCAGCAUCGGUUCGGGCGGUCGGAUAAAGGCCUUGGGAAUGUAGCUUCCUCCGGGGAGUCUUAUAGCCCUCGGUGCAAUGCGGCCAGCCCGGACCGAGGACCGCGCUUCGGCUAGGAUGCUGGCGUAAUGGUCGUAAGCGACCCGUCUUGAAACACGGACCAAGGAGUCUAACAUCUAUGCAAGUGUUUGGGUGUGAAACCCAUGCGCGGAAUGAAAGUGAACGGAGGUGAGAACCCUCAAGGGCGCAUCAUCGACCGAUCCAGAUGUCUUCGGAUGGAUUUGAGUACGAGCAUAGCUGUUGGGACCCGAAAGAUGGUGAACUAUGCCUGAAUAGGGUGAAGCCAGAGGAAACUCUGGUGGAGGCUCGCAGCGGUUCUGACGUGCAAAUCGAUCGUCAAAUUUGGGUAUAGGGGCGAAAGACUAAUCGAACCAUCUAGUAGCUGGUUCCUGCCAAAGUUUCC